RNAcentral lists this transfer RNA (72 nucleotides) under Camelus bactrianus (Bactrian camel). It matches the Rfam family "tRNA". Rfam says of the family: Transfer RNA (tRNA) molecules are approximately 80 nucleotides in length. Their secondary structure includes four short double-helical elements and three loops (D, anti-codon, and T loops). Further hydrogen bonds mediate the characteristic L-shaped molecular structure. tRNAs have two regions of fundamental functional importance: the anti-codon, which is responsible for specific mRNA codon recognition, and the 3' end, to which the tRNAs corresponding amino acid is attached (by aminoacyl-tRNA synthetases). tRNAs cope with the degeneracy of the genetic code in two manners: having more than one tRNA (with a specific anti-codon) for a particular amino acid; and 'wobble' base-pairing, i.e. permitting non-standard base-pairing at the 3rd anti-codon position. Lineage: Eukaryota; Metazoa; Chordata; Mammalia; Artiodactyla; Camelidae. The record is from Rfam by way of RNAcentral. RNAcentral also lists the same sequence under 2 other names.
GUGGGUAUAGCUCAGUGGUAGGGUGCGUGCUUAGCAUGCACAAGGUCCUGGGUUCCAUCCUCGUUACCUCCA